GAGACAUUCCUUAACAGAACUGUUACCUGGCUCUCUCCAUCUUUCUUAGUGGAGAUGUGAGCUCCAGGCUUCGAGCCUGGGAAUAUCCCGGCACCCUGCAGAUCUUCAUCCACUAAGCACCAGGCCCUACCACUCUGUAGCCAUAAACUAAGGAGAGAAAGGCCGAGAAGGAGGUGGGGAGACUGUAGUGGAUGAACAAUCCAGAAGGGAGAGAAAGAAUGUUCAUCACUGUCAAAGAGGCGUCAGCACAUCUGCAGGAAGACACAAGGCACUUGAUGUUUCCACGAACACCGUUGCCUCUUGUCUGAUCAAACCAUCAAGAUUCUACUUUGGGGGCCGGGGUGCCUACAGGACUGACUUAAACGCUGAACACGUCAGGCCAUCUAAACAGCGAACACAGGAACUUGCAGUGACAGCUUGUAAAACGAUGGCUACCUGGGGACGCUAGCCUGGAACCCAUUAAUUCCAGUGUGAAGACGAGCCCAGCACCGCAGUACGAGCCGAGGCCUUCACGCUGUGCUGAUGCAUGGCAUUGCCCUUGCCACGAGCCUGGGUACUUGUGAAGUGGCCUCUCCUGCUGAUGUCGGUUGACUACCUUGCGGACAGCGGGAACCCCAUCCAGCCAGAGGCAGCAGAUCUUUCUAACUCCCCCAUACCAAGCUCCCCCACUCUGUGACCCCCCAAAACCUUCAUAGGGGUUAGGGUAGGACAGGGGAAAGGGGUGUUUAAUAACAACUCAAUAAAAGAUUCUGUACUUGCUUUCCUUACUUGA
This is a long non-coding RNA of Peromyscus eremicus (cactus mouse), 772 nucleotides long. RefSeq lists it as uncharacterized. NCBI's taxonomy places the organism in Eukaryota, Metazoa, Chordata, Mammalia, Rodentia, Cricetidae. The transcript has 2 exons. The record is from RefSeq and is a predicted model, not a curated record.